This 466-nucleotide ribosomal RNA is filed under the name uncultured bacterium. RNAcentral's name for it is "partial 16S ribosomal RNA". It matches the Rfam family "Bacterial small subunit ribosomal RNA", at positions 28 to 507 of the family's 1533-position model. The record is from RNAcentral.
GAUGAACGUUGGCGGCGUGCUUAACACAUGCAAGUCGAACGGAAAGGCUCCUGCUUGCAGGGGUACUCGAGUGGCGAACGGGUGAGUAACACGUGGGUGAUCUGCCCUGCACUUCGGGAUAAGCCUGGGAAACUGGGUCUAAUACCGGAUAGGACGAUGGUUUGGAUGCCAUUGUGGAAAGUUUUUUCGGUGUGGGAUGAGCUCGCGGCCUAUCAGCUUGUUGGUGGGGUAAUGGCCUACCAAGGCGUCGACGGGUAGCCGGCCUGAGAGGGUGUACGGCCACAUUGGGCCUGAGAUACGGCCCAGACUCCUACGGGAGGCAGCGGUGGGGAAUAUUGCACAAUGGGCGCAAGCCUGAUGCAGCGACGCCGCGUGGGGGAUGACGGCCUUCUGGUUGUGAACUCCUUUCGCUAGGGACGAAGCGCAAGUGACGGUACCUGGAGAAGAAGCACCGGCUAACUACGUG